GACUGGGUGCUGUGGUGCCGGGCGGGGGGGGGGGGGGUGCAGGGGAGGGCUGGCUCAGGGGAAGUGUGUGAGUUUCUUCCUCUCUGGAUUCACUCUCUGCCUCAGCUUCCCCUUUCUCUGUGGACAGAUUUGCUGAAGCCCAACUCCAGGAGCCAGAGUGGCCGGACCACCAACAAAACAGGGCUCUGAUGCUCCCCUUCCCUUUUCUUCCUUACUUAUUUUUAAGUGGGGUCUUACUGUGCAGCCCAGGCUGGCCCUGAAUUUCUGGGCUAAAGUGAUCCUCCUGCCUCAGUUUCCUAAGUAGCUGGGACUGACUAUAAGUAUGUGCUUCUAUGCCUGGCUUACCUCCUUCUUCUUAAAAUAUAAAGAAACUGCGGUUCAGGGAGGGAAGGGACUGGUUCAAGGUCCCACAGUGAGAUGGUACUAAGCAAGGCCUAGAACACAGGCCUCUGGCCUGGCCACCUCCUCUCACCCUUGUUCUGUGGGAUGCUGUUUGCACGCCUCAGCCCAAGGCCGUCCUAUCAGGCACCUCUCCUACCCCUGGGCUGACUGGCUUCAGCCAGGACAGCCCUUCCCUGGCACUAGAAAUUCCCUGGAAUUUUCUUCCCCUGUGGCAUCUGGAGCCACCCCCCAGGAAGUGUUCUGGUCAGGCCAAGGGCCCCUUCCCCUGCCUGAGACCAUCAAUGAGGUGGCUGUUUUAUUUUGCUUUAUUCUCUGUGAUGCUGGACAUGGAACCCAGGGCCUUGAGCAUGCUGGCAAGGCUCUGCCAUGGAGUUGCAGCCCAGCCUGGGAUGGUUUACGUCCUGGGUCCUUGUGGCUGUACCCAGCUGUCUGGUCAAACACUCAUCUAGAUGGUGAUGUAAAUGUACUCUGUAGACGUGGUUAACAUUCAUAAUCUGACUGAGUAAAGCAGGUAACCCCCGUAGCGUGGGUGGGCCUCAUCAAAUCAGUGGAAGGCCUUAAAAACCACUGUUUCCCCAGAAGAAAUUGUGCCUCCAACUGUAACCUACAAAUCCUGCCCGAGUUCCCUGCCUGCUGGCCUGCUCUGCAGAUUUCGGACUUGCCAGCCCCCACAAUCACAUGAGCCAAUUUCUUAAAAUAAAUCUGCUGUGUACCUCUCUCUCUCUCUCUCUCUCUCUCUCUCCAUGUAUAUCUCCUCUUGGUUCUAUUCUCUGGUGCACUCCGGCUGAUACAGUCAUGUUGAUUCAUAAUUGGAUCUGUUUAUGAGGCCUGUUUCCCUGCCGCAGACAGCGGGCAGUGGGCGCAGAGAUCAGAGGGCCUUGAGAGGGAAUAUGGGAGCAGAGUGGGGAUGAGGAGGAGGGAAGGCAGCUGAUAGUUGUCACCACGGGACCAAGAAUGAAUGAAUGAGACCAAGAGGGAGGCGAUGGUGCUCAGUGUUCUGUCACCUCUGAUCUGAAGUCACAGGUCCCAAGAAGCCAUGGCCCCGAUCCUCCGCCUACUGAGCCCACACCCAGAGUGGAAGUGUCAUGUUCUUUGCUCCCAGAGAGGGACAGUGCUUCCCUGUGGCAGGAUGGUGUCCUUGCUGAAGACCCUUCGGGAGAGGCAUUCACUGUGGCCUCCCAAGGCUAGUCCUGCAAUCUUCACUACAGGGCUUGAAGGAAAUUCGGGGACCCACCUGUCCAAGGCUGUCAUUUUACAGAUGGGGAAACUGAGGCACUGCACCCCCCUCCCCCGGGAGCUCUCAAGUCCUAGUUCGUUUCCUCCACCUGUGCUGAACAUGAGCUUCAUGUGACCUGCAAUGAUGAGCAAACUGAGGCUUGGAGAAGCUGCUCUUUGUCUAAGUGACAAGGCCACUAAGAGAUACAGGCAAGACCUGAGCUGAUGACAUCCAUGCUCUUCCUCAUGGACUGCACCUCUGCCUAUGCCCCAUCCGCCCCUCGCCCAGCCUCCUCCCAGCUUCUCCAUUGCUGUGUUUAAUCUGGAGUGAUCAGAAAUGACAGGAGAAAUAAAGGUCUGGGAAAAGAUUUACCAGAGAAAAUAAAGCCAGCCGAUGAUA
This is a non-coding RNA of Heterocephalus glaber (naked mole-rat), 2017 nucleotides long. The record is from RefSeq and is a predicted model, not a curated record. NCBI's taxonomy places the organism in Eukaryota, Metazoa, Chordata, Mammalia, Rodentia, Bathyergidae.